AACGAUCUCUCCCUGCGCCUGGGAAUUCGAUCUGGAUCACGGCGGCGGCGGCGGCGACUCCUGUCUCUCUCUCCGCGCACCGACGCAUCCCUCGGAGCCCUGCCCACCUCCUCCCUUUUCAGCGCCCACAUCGCGACCCCUGUGGCUACUCCACUCUUGAGGCGUCGUGGAGGUUACGGAAACCCGAUGGCGUUGGCUUGCCGGAGAUGAAGAAGACAGCCAGGUGAUGCGGUACUCGGGAGGUGGAAUUGGCAACGGAGGUGGCUCCAUAUGGAUGUCGCGGACCUCCCACUGGAUGGAAUCGAAGUCGGACGAUGUGCUUCGGUCGUCAACGGCGGCUGCGCGGGAUGCAGUAUGGUAUGGAUCGGGCAUCUCGAGGAUGGGCUCUCUUCGCAAGGCCUCCUCCACGCCACAGCGGAGGUGUUUGAGGAGUCUGUCCCGGGGCUGCUCGUGAAGCACGUCGACGUCUCUGUCUUGCCAUUGCUCAAAACACCGUCCUGCCGGCUGGGGUCCUUAUUUGCCAUCGAGGCCUUCCGCAACAGGGUCCAUGAUGCCUGAUUGCUUCCUCUUCGGCUGGAUCGGGUCCAACCACACAAUUAUUGUACUACUGUCUUGAGUGGCAAAUAUUUACUGAGAUGGGAUAAUAGUGCAGGUUGAUGUGUGUAGCACGUGUUAACAAAAUCUCAAUUAUCUGCAUGGUAUAUAUAUCUCUAAUCAUUGUCUUUUCCAGAAUUAAGAGAAGGUAUGAGAAAGAUAAUACUAAUAUUCCCUAUACAUUUGACA
Aegilops tauschii subsp. strangulata is the source of this 783-nucleotide long non-coding RNA. RefSeq lists it as uncharacterized. NCBI's taxonomy places the organism in Eukaryota, Viridiplantae, Streptophyta, Magnoliopsida, Poales, Poaceae. The record is from RefSeq and is a predicted model, not a curated record.